RNAcentral lists this ribosomal RNA (515 nucleotides) under Altererythrobacter insulae. Its description in RNAcentral is "bacterial SSU rRNA". It matches the Rfam family "Bacterial small subunit ribosomal RNA", at positions 1 to 492 of the family's 1533-position model. The record is from RNAcentral. Lineage: Bacteria; Pseudomonadati; Pseudomonadota; Alphaproteobacteria; Sphingomonadales; Erythrobacteraceae.
UAAUUGAAGAGUUUGAUCAUGGCUCAGAUUGAACGCUGGCGGCAGGCUUAACACAUGCAAGUCGAGCGGUAACAGAGAGUAGCUUGCUACUUUGCUGACGAGCGGCGGACGGGUGAGUAAUGCUUGGGAAUAUGCCUUGGAGUGGGGGACAACAGUUGGAAACGACUGCUAAUACCGCAUAACGUGCUUACUGUGGUGGUAAGUACCAAAGGGGGGGAUCUUCGGACCUCUCGCUUCUUGAUUAGCCCAAGUGAUAUUAGCUAGUAGGUGAGGUAAUGGCUCACCUAGGCGACGAUCUCUAGCUGGUUUGAGAGGAUGAUCAGCCACACUGGGACUGAGACACGGCCCAGACUCCUACGGGAGGCAGCAGUGGGGAAUAUUGCACAAUGGGCGAAAGCCUGAUGCAGCCAUGCCGCGUGUGUGAAGAAGGCCUUCGGGUUGUAAAGCACUUUCAGUUGUGAGGAAAGGAGGGUAGUUAAUAGCUGCUCACUGUGACGUUAGCAACAGAAGAAGCA